Molecule: long non-coding RNA, 684 nt
Organism: Gasterosteus aculeatus aculeatus (three-spined stickleback)
Lineage: Eukaryota; Metazoa; Chordata; Actinopteri; Perciformes; Gasterosteidae
Source: Ensembl
UAGAUGUACACACAGACACACUAACAUUUGGUUCUAAACAAAGACACACACUAAUAUUUAGAUGUACACAAAGACAUAUUAAUAUUUAGAUGUACACACAGACACAUUAAUAUUUUGAUGUACACACAGACACACUAACAAUUAGUUGUACACACAGACACACUAACAAUUCGAUAUUCACACAGACACACUAACAAUUAGAUGUACACACAUACACACUAACAUUUGUUUCUAAACAAAGACACUUACUAACAUUUAGAUGUACACAAAUACACAUUAAUAUGUAGAUGUAUACACAGACACACUAACAUUUAGAUGUACACACAGACACAUUUAUAUUCAGAAGUACACAAAAACACACAAACAUCUGGUUCUGCACAAAGACACAUUAAUAUUUAAAUGUACACACAGACCCACUAACAAUUAGAUGUACACACAGACACAUCCUGAUGAUCCUCCUCACGUCUCUUCUCCUUGUCUGCAGACCAACAGGACGCCAUCAGGACGCCAUCAGGACGCCACACCAACAGGACGCCAUCAGGACGCCACGUCAACGGGACGCCAUCAGGACGCCGUCAGGACUCCAUCAGGACGUCAUGUCAACCCCUCAGGAGCAAAUCCAGAUCUACGCAUGACACACACACACACCCACACUCACACACACACAGAUCUACUCAGAGACAC